AUGCCGAAAAGAAAACGAGAAACCACCGACGAUCCCAAUCCACACCGCCGGCCGCUCGGCGUCACCGCCACCGCCUCCCCUCCACCGGGAGCGGGAGCGGGAGCGAGCGGAGAUCCCGCCCCCGGCCCGCUGGACGGACAGUUGAUACAGCCAGCUAUGGAUAAUAUCACUCAGAUUCUAAAAGAUGCUCAGGAUCCGGAUAACAACAUAAGGCUUGUAGCAGAAUGCAAACUCAAGCAGCUCCAGGAGCGUAAUCGUCCCAACUUCCUCCUGUCAUUAUCAGCAGAGCUCUCGAGUGAUGCAAGUCCGCCCGAGUGCAGAUGCCUUGCUGGCAUUAUGCUGAAGAAUUCUGUGGAAGGAAAGUAUUCUGAAGAUAACAGCAUCCUCAUCGAACAAUGGAACAACCUGGAUCAACGUAUCAAAUCCCAGAUUAAGGAGUCAUUGCUGAUAACACUAGGAUCUUUGGCUCCUCAGGCGAGGCAUGCCUCAUCACAGAUUAUUGGCAGGCUUGCAUAUAUUGAGAUACCCUCCCAGGGGUGGCAAGACCUCAUUGGCAGAUUACUGCGCAACAUGGCACAGCAGGGUGCAUCUCCUGCUACACUAAAGCAAGCAACUCUAGAGGCGCUGGAGUAUGUGUUUGAGGAGAAGACCUUGAGGUUCGAGAAAGACACAAUUAAUGGUGUUCUGGAUGCCGUCAUCCGGGCAAUGAACCACCAGGCAGAGAAAAGUUUUCAAGUCCGUGUUGCGGCGGUUAAAGCUCUACAGAAUGUUCAUAAGUUUGCUGACUUUGCAAGUGAUGAUGAUUGCAGAAAUCGUAUAAUGACUGCAAUAUCUGAUGCAGCUAAAUCCGAUGAAGCAGUGGAGGUCAAGCAUGCAGCAUUCGGCUGCCUUACUGCAAUUGCAUCCAAAUAUUAUAUGGAGUUAGAACCUUACAUGGAAACCACACUCAGCCUUACAACUGAAGCUUUGAGCUUGGAAGGAGGUGUGGACGAAACAGUUGCGCUCGAAUGUAUCGAGUUCUGGAGCACUAUUUGUAGAAAAGUGAUUAAACUCCGAGAAAAAAGAAAACGCUUUCCUCGUGUUAUAUUGACCGCAGAUUGUCACUUCCUUGAGAAUCCCCUUUGUUCACUUGUUCCACUUCUGCUACAAACUCUGUCGUUACACCAAGAAAGAGAUGUUGAUGAACUGAACAUCUUCAUGAGUGCUAUGACAUGCCUAGGCCUCGUCGCUAGAACUAUCGGGGAUGCAGUUGUCCCAUUUGCAAGGCAGUUUAUCGAGGGUAACAUCAAAGUGGCAGAUUGGCGUAGUCGCAAGACAGCUAUUUCUGUACUAGGCGUUAUCCUUGAAGGGCCUUCUAUUGAAAAACUCGCUCCUGUGGUCGGUUUGUUGAUGGACAAGAUGGAAGACCCACACAUGGAGAUAAGAGGCACCGCUACAUGCACUCUUGGGCAGGUGUUUGAGCUUCUGCAUUCUCCAGCUCUUGAUAAAAGAUUUUUCACAAAUGAAGACUUUCCUCGCAUCAUGGCUGCGUUGUCAAAGAGGGGUAAAGAUGUUCCAGAAGUGUCCAAGGAAGUCUGUGAAGCUAUAUAUUUUCUUGCCCGAGGUUAUGAUGUGCCAAUCUCAUCCGAGGUAGACCAUUCAAAAAAGAAAAUCUCAUCUGAACUUUCACCUUUUCUUAGUGGUGUUAUCGAUGCUAUCCUUUCUGCUUCGGAACUUGAUAAGAAGACCCCUUUCGGGCUUCCUGCAUCUGCAUCUGCUUAUGGCGCAUUGAUUGAGAUUGUGAGAGUAAGCAACAUGUGGGAUUUUGAAGCUGUAAUAGCUAUUAUGGAUUUGAUGCCUCGUAUCAUGCGAAGAUUAAACACAGCGCUUGAUGCCAAAGCAAUUUCAUCAGAUGACAAGACUAACAGGCAAAAUCUUCAGGCGUUGCUGUGUGACGUACUGCACGCCAUAAUCGAGAAACUGGGGAAUUCGCUUCACGCGGACAAGGUUAGGGAGUCUGCUCAGUCUAUGUCGCUUCAGUUUUGCCGUGUCCUGACCUGCGACUGUUCUACCGCAUGUGAUAAAGCAGCGCUUGCUAUUGGUGCUCUGGCUCGUGCCGUCGGUCCAAAGUUUCUGGAUCACAUGCCAAUAUUUUUGCAGUAUUACAGCGUGAAGCUAUUCUCCCCUAUCUAUUUAGAGGUGAUUGGCACUAUCUUUCAUGUCUUGGGAGAUGAAAUCCUGCCAUGCUGUGAUGAUAUGAUGGACGUUCUUUACGAAGGUCUCUCAAAACCCAAGCUUAAACCUCAAAUUUUGGCAUGCUUUGGAGAGAUCGCUCUUGCUAUCGGCAAGCAUUUUGAGGAGUACCACCUGCAGGCUGUUAGGAAAAAGCUGAAAGAAGCUGCUAACCCAAGAUAUUAUGCCAAUGUCUCUGAUGAGGAUAAGGUUGAUUACGGUAACCAGCUUAGACAGGGAAUAUGCAAGGCUUACUCUGGCAUAUUGCGGGGUAUAAAGGACCAAAAAUCUGGGUUGAAGGUAGCAGCGGAUCUAGUUGAGUUCAUUGAAGCUGUCUCUGAGGACGAGAGCAGGGAUGCAAGGGUGACAUCCGCUGCAGUUGAUGUGUUGGAUCAGUUUGGUUUCAUGGCGGAGUCAUGGAAACAGGGACUGAUUUCGGAAUUAGGGAGGUAA
This 2664-nucleotide ribosomal RNA is filed under the name Triticum aestivum (bread wheat). RNAcentral describes it as "partial small subunit ribosomal RNA". The record is from RNAcentral. Lineage: Eukaryota; Viridiplantae; Streptophyta; Magnoliopsida; Poales; Poaceae.